CCUACGGGAUGCUGCAGUGAGGAAUAUUGGUCAAUGGACGAGAGUCUGAACCAGCCAAGUCGCGUGAAGGAUGACUGCCCUAUGGAUUGUAAACUUCUUUUAUAUGGGAAUAAACUGUUCCACGUGUGGGAUUUUGUAUGUACCAUAUGAAUAAGGAUCGGCUAACUCCGUGCCAGCAGCCGCGGUAAUACGGAGGAUCCGAGCGUUAUCCGUAUUUAUUGGGUUUAAAGGGAGCGUAGGUGGAUUGUUAAGUCAGUUGUGAAAGUUUGGGGCUCAACCGUAAAAUUGCAGUUGAAACUGGGAGUCUUGAGGACGGUAGAGGUGGGCGGAAUUCGUGGUGGAGCGGUGAAAUGCUUAGAUAUCACGAAGAACUCCGAUUGCGAAGGCAGCUCACUGGACUGCAACUGACACUGAGGCUCGAAAGUGUGGGUAUCAAACAGGAUUAGAUACCCCUGUAGUC
RNAcentral lists this ribosomal RNA (460 nucleotides) under uncultured bacterium. RNAcentral's name for it is "partial 16S ribosomal RNA". It matches the Rfam family "Bacterial small subunit ribosomal RNA", at positions 338 to 795 of the family's 1533-position model. The record is from RNAcentral.